UCCAGAUAUCAAGUUCAACAAGAGUAGGACUUCCAGAAAAGAAUUCAAUGAAAAAUAAGGUUUGGAAGUCUUGUUCACGAAUUUUUGUUCUUGAUUGCGCCAGGCAGAAAUAUUCUGGACAGUCACUGCCAAAGACUAAUUUUUUUUUCUUAUCUUUUUCUUUGAAUAACAAGAAUAAUUAAACAAGGAAUACAAGGAAACAAUCAAAGACACAAAAAAGUUUUUUUUUGUUGAAGUUUUUGUUAUGGAUAUGCAAGAAAUAAGAUAGCAAAUAACUGAACAUAGCACUUAGAAGCAGUUAUUGGUUUCUCUACUUGAUUUUGAGGCAGUAGGCAGCAGCUAUGUGAGGCAGUAGGCAGUUGCUAUUGAAAGAGAAAUCAUAUCAAGAAAUUUUUCUUCCGGUAUCCAACUCAUGAAAAUCUUUCUUGGAAUCAAGGAUGACUGCUGUUGUUGCCUUUUAAUUGAUAUUGAAGUAGAUCUAUGAACUUAUUUUGAGUGUUGUUAUUGACUUGUAGUUGAUAUUGAAGUGGACUAGUGAACUUACUUAUUUUGAGUGCUUUAAGUGUAGUUGAUAUUGAAGUGAAGUUUUGAACUUAUUUUGGACUUUUGAAUGUUUAAAAAUUUGUAUUAUUUAUUUAUGGAUAAAACAGUAAGUGUA
Molecule: long non-coding RNA, 658 nt
Organism: Ipomoea triloba (trilobed morning glory)
Lineage: Eukaryota; Viridiplantae; Streptophyta; Magnoliopsida; Solanales; Convolvulaceae
Exons: 3
Source: RefSeq, a predicted model, not a curated record